This 301-nucleotide ribosomal RNA is filed under the name uncultured bacterium. RNAcentral describes it as "partial 16S ribosomal RNA". It matches the Rfam family "Bacterial small subunit ribosomal RNA", at positions 509 to 809 of the family's 1533-position model. The record is from RNAcentral.
CAGUAGCCGCGGGAAUACGGAGGGUGCAAGCGUUAAUCGGAAUUACUGGGCGUAAAGCGCACGCAGGCGGUUUGUUAAGUCAGAUGUGAAAUCCCCGAGCUUAACUUGGGAACUGCAUUUGAAACUGGCAAGCUAGAGUCUUGUAGAGGGGGGUAGAAUUCCAGGUGUAGCGGUGAAAUGCGUAGAGAUCUGGAGGAAUACCGGUGGCGAAGGCGGCCCCCUGGACAAAGACUGACGCUCAGGUGCGAAAGCGUGGGGAGCAAACAGGAUUAGAUACCCCUGUAGUCCCUGUCUCUUAUCA